UCUUCCUCUUGAAAUCGUCUCAAACAGGUUAAUAUACCUGGUCCUAGUGAUAUUUUGUACUGUUAUUACAGCACGUGGUCUUGAUAAUUUUCUUUUUGCGUUGUAAAAUUAUGCAUUUACGCAAGCUUUUUGUAGCGGUAUUUCUAGUACAGGUGUUAGGGACUGUGGUGCGCGCUGAGGACUUGCAGUGCCACCAGUGCCUUCCAAAUGAUCUAGACCCUUUGCGUUGUGAAAAUCUGCCAAACCAUCGUAAUGUUCCAUGUAAAGCGACCGAAAAACUACCAAAUCCAGCCUGCGCCACUAUCAGAGUUCCUGUUGGAAAUGACCUGGGAAAUAUAUGGUUCCGAGGCUGCGUCAACAAGGGCAAUCAAACAGCAAACACGUGCGAGUUAUUUAACACCCCAUCAAAUCAUUCUGCAACGAACGAUAUCUGGUUUGUGUCGAUUACGCUAGCAGAUCCAGAUCCAGAACCGACAGAAUGGAAACUGGCCGGCACGGUGGAAGCACGUACUGCUGCCCGGGGCAUUCUUAAGCGACUGUUCCCUAAUUCGGAUGCUAGUCGGAUUUACAAAUCCCCCUUGCACCACAUCCUUGGUCUACAGUCUAUACCGGCUACGGAAAGCUGUGUGUGUCAAUCGGAAUUAUGCAAUCAGCAAAAUACAGGAAAUAUUUUUAGAUACUCCACGUCAUUAACUGCUUUUGCAGGGAUUGUUCUGCUGCUUUUUCGAAAGAUUUUUGAAUGAGAUUAGUUGCUCAUAAUAUGGGCUGGUUUAUAUACUUUGUUUUUUAUUCUGACACCGAUUUGACUGAAUGAUAAAGUAAGCGGGCAGUG
Molecule: long non-coding RNA, 832 nt
Organism: Paramacrobiotus metropolitanus
Lineage: Eukaryota; Metazoa; Tardigrada; Eutardigrada; Parachela; Macrobiotidae
Exons: 2
Source: RefSeq, a predicted model, not a curated record